Molecule: ribosomal RNA, 406 nt
Filed under: uncultured bacterium
Lineage: Bacteria
Description: partial 16S ribosomal RNA
Rfam family: Bacterial small subunit ribosomal RNA
Source: RNAcentral
AUUGAACGCUGGCGGCAGGCCUAACACAUGCAAGUCGAACGAGUUGCGGACGGGUGAGUAAUGUCUGGGAAACUGCCUGAUGGAGGGGGAUAACUACUGGAAACGGUAGCUAAUACCGCAUACCAUCGGAUGUGCCCAGAGGGGAUGAGCUAGUAGGUGGGGUAACGGCUUACCUAGGCGACGAUCCCUAGCUGGUCUGAGAGGAUGACCAGCCACACUGGAACUGAGACACGGUCCAGACUCCUACGGGAGGCAGCAGUGGUGAAUAUGGCACAACGGGCGCAAGCCUGAUGCAGCCAUGCCGCGUGUAUGAAGAAGGCCGUCGGGUUGUAAAGUACUUUCAGCGGGGAGGAGUUACCCGCAGAAGAAGCACCGGCUAACUCCGUGCCAGCAGCCGCGGUAAUAC